Molecule: ribosomal RNA, 308 nt
Filed under: Hypselodoris obscura
Lineage: Eukaryota; Metazoa; Mollusca; Gastropoda; Nudibranchia; Chromodorididae
Description: partial 16S ribosomal RNA
Rfam family: Archaeal large subunit ribosomal RNA (bases 1-163)
Source: RNAcentral
AACCUGCCCAAUGUAAAGUAAUAUCAAUGGCCGCGGUACCUUGACCGUGCUAAGGUAGCGAAAUCAAUUGGCUUUUAAUUGGAGUCAGGUAUGAAUGGAAUUACGUGGUUCAGCUGUCUCCUUAAUAAUUAUUUGAAAUUACUAUAUAGAUGAAAAAGUCUAUAACAAGAAAAAAGACGAGAAGACCCUUAGAGUUUUUUUUAAAGUAAAUUUUAAUAUAUUUACAAAAGUUUAGUUGGGGCAACUAGAGAAAAUAUUAGUAACUUCUCAAAUAUAUACUAGCCGAUUAUUUUAAGUUUGUNUAAACU